AGAGUUUGAUCAUGGCUCAGAUUGAACGCUGGCGGCAGGCCUAACACAUGCAAGUCGAGCGGUAGCACAGAGAGCUUGCUCUCGGGUGACGAGCGGCGGACGGGUGAGUAAUGUCUGGGAAACUGCCUGAUGGAGGGGGAUAACUACUGGAAACGGUAGCUAAUACCGCAUAACGUCGCAAGACCAAAGUGGGGGACCUUCGGGCCUCAUGCCAUCAGAUGUGCCCAGAUGGGAUUAGCUAGUAGGUGGGGUAACGGCUCACCUAGGCGACGAUCCCUAGCUGGUCUGAGAGGAUGACCAGCCACACUGGAACUGAGACACGGUCCAGACUCCUACGGGAGGCAGCAGUGGGGAAUAUUGCACAAUGGGCGCAAGCCUGAUGCAGCCAUGCCGCGUGUGUGAAGAAGGCCUUCGGGUUGUAAAGCACUUUCAGCGGGGAGGAAGGCGUUAAGGUUAAUAACCUCAUCGAUUGACGUUACCCGCAGAAGAAGCACCGGCUAACUCCGUGCCAGCAGCCGCGGUAAUACGGAGGGUGCAAGCGUUAAUCGGAAUUACUGGGCGUAAAGCGCACGCAGGCGGUCUGUCAAGUCGGAUGUGAAAUCCCCGGGCUCAACCUGGGAACUGCAUUCGAAACUGGCAGGCUAGAGUCUUGUAGAGGGGGGUAGAAUUCCAGGUGUAGCGGUGAAAUGCGUAGAGAUCUGGAGGAAUACCGGUGGCGAAGGCGGCCCCCUGGACAAAGACUGACGCUCAGGUGCGAAAGCGUGGGGAGCAAACAGGAUUAGAUACCCUGGUAGUCCACGCCGUAAACGAUGUCGAUUUGGAGGUUGUGCCCUUGAGGCGUGGCUUCCGGAGCUAACGCGUUAAAUCGACCGCCUGGGGAGUACGGCCGCAAGGUUAAAACUCAAAUGAAUUGACGGGGGCCCGCACAAGCGGUGGAGCAUGUGGUUUAAUUCGAUGCAACGCGAAGAACCUUACCUGGUCUUGACAUCCACAGAACUUUCCAGAGAUGGAUUGGUGCCUUCGGGAACUGUGAGACAGGUGCUGCAUGGCUGUCGUCAGCUCGUGUUGUGAAAUGUUGGGUUAAGUCCCGCAACGAGCGCAACCCUUAUCCUUUGUUGCCAGCGGUCCGGCCGGGAACUCAAAGGAGACUGCCAGUGAUAAACUGGAGGAAGGUGGGGAUGACGUCAAGUCAUCAUGGCCCUUACGACCAGGGCUACACACGUGCUACAAUGGCAUAUACAAAGAGAAGCGACCUCGCGAGAGCA
This 1265-nucleotide ribosomal RNA is filed under the name Klebsiella pneumoniae. Its description in RNAcentral is "bacterial SSU rRNA". It matches the Rfam family "Bacterial small subunit ribosomal RNA", at positions 8 to 1265 of the family's 1533-position model. The record is from RNAcentral. Lineage: Bacteria; Pseudomonadati; Pseudomonadota; Gammaproteobacteria; Enterobacterales; Enterobacteriaceae.